GUGCUUGCACUGAAUGAGAUUUUAACACGAAGUGAGUGGCGGACGGGUGAGUAACACGUGGGUAACCUGCCCAGAAGCAGGGGAUAACACCUGGAAACAGAUGCUAAUACCGUAUAACAGAGAAAACCGCCUGGUUUUCUUUUAAAAGAUGGCUCUGCUAUCACUUCUGGAUGGACCCGCGGCGCAUUAGCUAGUUGGUGAGGUAACGGCUCACCAAGGCGAUGAUGCGUAGCCGACCUGAGAGGGUAAUCGGCCACAUUGGGACUGAGACACGGCCCAGACUCCUACGGGAGGCAGCAGUAGGGAAUCUUCCACAAUGGACGCAAGUCUGAUGGAGCAACGCCGCGUGAGUGAAGAAGGGUUUCGGCUCGUAAAGCUCUGUUGUUAAAGAAGAACGUGGGUGAGAGUAACUGUUCACCCAGUGACGGUAUUUAACCAGAAAGCCACGGCUAACUACGUGCCAGCAGCCGCGGUAAUACGUAGGUGGCAAGCGUUAUCCGGAUUUAUUGGGCGUAAAGCGAGCGCAGGCGGUCUUUUAAGUCUAAUGUGAAAGCCUUCGGCUC
This 563-nucleotide ribosomal RNA is filed under the name Pediococcus acidilactici. RNAcentral's name for it is "bacterial SSU rRNA". It matches the Rfam family "Bacterial small subunit ribosomal RNA", at positions 64 to 610 of the family's 1533-position model. Lineage: Bacteria; Bacillati; Bacillota; Bacilli; Lactobacillales; Lactobacillaceae. The record is from RNAcentral.